Molecule: ribosomal RNA, 409 nt
Filed under: uncultured bacterium
Lineage: Bacteria
Description: bacterial SSU rRNA
Rfam family: Bacterial small subunit ribosomal RNA
Source: RNAcentral
CAGCAGCCGCGGUAAUACGUAGGUGGCGAGCGUUAUCCGGAUUUACUGGGCGUAAAGAGCGCGCAGGCGGUCGUGCAAGUCGGAUGUGAAAGCCCCCGGCUCAACUGGGGAAAGUCAUUCGAUACUGCUCGACUUGAAGGCGGGAGAGGGAAGCGGAAUUCCCGGUGUAGUGGUGAAAUGCGUAGAUAUUGGGAGGAACACCCGUGGCGAAGGCGGCUCUCUGGACCACAACUGACGCUGAGGCGCGAAAGCUAGGGUAGCAAACGGGAUUAGAUACCCCGGUAGUCCUAGCCGUAAACGAUGGGCACUAGGUGUUGGAGGUAUCGACCCCUCCAGUGCCGCAGCUAACGCAUUAAGUGCCCCGCCUGGGGAGUACGGUCGCAAGACUAAAACUCAAAGGAAUUGACGG